UUCGAUUCUGACAAAUUCAGGGCCUUUUGCGCCUCUCAGGGUACCCGAGUCGACUAUGCUUCGGUCGCUCACCCCCAGUCAAAUGGGCAAGCAGAAAGGGCAAACGGCCUAAUUCUCAAAGGACUGAAACUCCGGUUGAUGCGUGAUCUCAAGCACGCAGCAGGUGCAUGGGUCGACGAGCUUCCAUCAGUCCUUUGGGGAUUGAGGACAACCCCGAACCGAUCGACCGGAAGAACCCCAUUCUUUCUGGUCUACGGAGCCGAGGCAGUCUUGCCGAGUGACCUGCUUCACAACGCUCCCUGA
This 303-nucleotide ribosomal RNA is filed under the name Triticum aestivum (bread wheat). RNAcentral's name for it is "partial small subunit ribosomal RNA". The record is from RNAcentral. Lineage: Eukaryota; Viridiplantae; Streptophyta; Magnoliopsida; Poales; Poaceae.